Molecule: ribosomal RNA, 253 nt
Filed under: uncultured prokaryote
Description: partial 16S ribosomal RNA
Rfam family: Bacterial small subunit ribosomal RNA
Source: RNAcentral
ACGUAGGGUGCAGGCGUUAAUCGGAAUUACUGGGCGUAAAGCGUGCGCAGGCGGUCUCUUAAGACAGGUGUGAAAUCCCCGGGCUUAACCUGGGAACUGCGCUUGUAACUGAGAGGCUUGAGUGCGGCAGAGGGGGGUGGAAUUCCGCGUGUAGCAGUGAAAUGCGUAGAGAUGCGGCGGAACACCGAUGGCGAAGGCAGCCCCCUGGGCUGAGAUUGACGCUCAGGCACGAAAGCGUGGGGAGCAAACAGGA